Molecule: long non-coding RNA, 6729 nt
Organism: Peromyscus californicus insignis
Lineage: Eukaryota; Metazoa; Chordata; Mammalia; Rodentia; Cricetidae
Exons: 7
Source: RefSeq, a predicted model, not a curated record
UUGCCAUCCCUAGAUGCUGCAGCGUGUGCUGUCUACAAGCAAGGACAUUCUCUAUCCUAACCGCAAUGCUGUGGGAUGUUCUGUAUGGCAAAUGUGUUGCUAAUUAGUCAAUAAAUAAAACACUGAUUGGCCAUUGGCUAGGCAGGAAGUGUAGGCGGGACAAGGAGGAGAAUAAAGCUGGGAAGUGGAAGGCUGAGUCAGAGAGACACUGCCAGCCACCACGAUGACAAACAGCAUGUGAAGAUGCCGGUAAGCCACGAGCCACGUGGCAAGGUAUAGAUUAAUGGAAAUGGAUUAAUUUAAGCUGUAAAAACAGUUAGCAAGAAGCCUGCCAUGGUCACACAGUUUGUAACCAAUAUAAGUCUCUGUGUUUACUUGGUCGGGUCUGAGUGGCUGUGGGACCGGCAGGUGAGAGAGAUUUGUCCUGACUGUGGACCAGGCAGGAAAACUCUAGCUACACCACAAUGUCAACUUCAAGUACAGAAAAUUAACCUUGCAUAUAGGUCUUAGCCUUUCUCAGAUGUCACUGGACUUUGGCCAAACCCACAGCCUUUGCCAACCAUCUCAAGAAUGUCCCAGCCAGAGGCGAGUUCCAGGUCAGUGGCGUGGGUUGCCUUUGCUCUUCGUCUCCAUCACCUCUACAAUUCAGGUCUUUGACUUUGAUGACCUUAACAGUUUUAGAGGAUCCAGCUUCUCUGGAUUGGAUCAGAAGAAGUCCUUCCCUGUGGGCCUCUGCAUCCUUUUUGUUCCGUUCUCCAUAAUUCCCUGAACAUUCCCUUCAGUUUUGGCAAGCCAGGGUUUUCCUCCUGAGCCCUGGGAGCAGCAUCCAUUUCUAAGAAGUCUUGACUCUUUUGAGGAGAGAAGGGCAUUUAGAAGCUGUUUCUACUUGAAUUAAAAUGUCUCCCAUAGGUUCAGGCAUUUGAACACUUGGUUCCUGGUUAGUAGCAUGCUUGGGGAGGUUGACUGGGAGUGGCCUUGCUGGAGAAAGUGUGUCACUAGGGGUGGGAUUUGGAUGUUUAUGGUCUUUGUUCAUGUCACCUCGCACUCUCUGCUUCACGUUUGAGGUUUCAAGAUCCAGGCUGUUCCUUCCACUGUGCCUGCUGCUUGUCACCAUGCCUUCCUAUCAUGAUGGGUUCUCCCUCUGGAACUGUAAGCCAAAAAAACCUCUUCCUUCUGUAUGUUACAUCAGUCAUGAUGUCUUAUACAGCAAGAGAAAAGUAACUAAUACAGGAACCAGUAUCUGGGUCCUAGGUGUGCUCAUUUCUACUGCAGAGUCAUGGGUCUCUGGUUCUGUCAGUGGGCACAUCCACAUAAGCACAAAUUUGCACAUUUAUAUUUACAUCCAUCCUCUACAUUGCAUAUAAUAAAUCAUAUUUGAUUAAUUAGUAAUGGCUGCCAUAUUCAUGUAUCCAUACAAAAACAGGCUGUCUCUUAGGGUUUCUAUUGCUGUGAUGAAACACCAUGACCAAAAGCAACUUGGGGAGGAGAGGGUUUAUUUGGCUUAUAUUUCCAUAGCCCUGUUUAUCAUUAAAGGAAGUCAGGAAAGGAACUCAAACAGGGCAGGAACCUGGAGGCAGGAGCUGACACAGGGGCCGUAGGGAGUGCUGCUUACUGGCACCACCACACCUGGGCAAGUGGUUCCAGAUGCUAUGAAAAAGCACACUUAAGCAAGAAACAUUGUCCCUCCAGGGCUUCUGCUUCAGUUCCUGCCUUGAUUUCCUUCCUUAACUUUCUUGGUGAUUGCCUUAGUUAGGGUAUCUAUUGCUGUGAUGAAACACUAUGACCAAGGCAACUUGGGAAGGAAGGAGUUAUUUGGCUUACACUUCCAUAUCACCGUUCAUCAUCAAAGGAAGUCAGGACAGGAACCCAAACAGGUUAGGACUCUGGAAGCAAGAUCUGAUUGCAGAGGCCAAGGAGGGGUGCUGCUUACUGGCUUGCUUCCAUGUCUUGCUCAGCUUAUUUUCUUAUAGAACCCAGGACCACCAUCCUAGGGAUGGCCCCAACCACAAUGGGCUGGACCCUCCCCCAUCGACCACUAAUUAAGGAAAUGUCCUACAGGCUUGCCUACAACCUGAUCUUCUGGAGGCAUUUUAAAAAUAUAUCAUUUAUGUUUAUUUUAUGUUCAUUGGUGUCUUGCCUGUUUGUGUGUCUGUGUGAGGGUGUUGGAUCCCCUGGAAGUGGAAUUACAGACAGUUGUGAGCUGCCAUGUGGGUGCUGGAAAUUGAACCUAGGUCCUUAACCACUGCAGUAAUGAACUGCAUUCAUGCAUGAUGAACUAGUGUCCUCCCAGGAUAUCCUCCACCUCCCUGGCAGCAGAAUUCCGGUAUGAGUUCUGGAGGGGCAAAGCAUAUUCAAAUACACCCCAAGGCUGCUUUCUCCAUUGCCAUGUGUUCUAUGCCAGAGUGAAACCUGGCUCUCUUCUCAUCACCUUUAAUACUCUGAGCUAUUUGAUCAAAAUCUUCCUACCACUGUCUUUGCUCUGAAGACAGCCUUCACCCUAUGCCAACAGACUCCAGCACCCUUCAUGGAUGGUUCUCCAGUCUAUGCAGACCGCAGCACCACGUGCUGGACUGUCUCACACCCCUCCUACCCCCCUCACUCCUUUGGACCCUGACACUAUUAUAAUUUGGAUCUGAAAUGUUCCCAAAGGCUUUUGGGUUAUAGGUUUACUCACUAGCUGGUCACCCCAUUGUGCUGUGGGAUGUUCUGUAUGUCAAAUGUGUUGCUCUGAUUGGUCAAUAAAUAAAACACUGAUUGGCCAGUAGCCAGGCAGGAGAAAGUAUAGGCGGGACAAGGAGGAGAGAAUUUUGGGAAGUGGAAGGCUGAGUCAGAGACACUGCCAGCCACCGCUGCCAUGACAAGCAGCAUGUGAAGAUGCCGGUAAGCCACAAGCCACGUUGCAAGGUAUAGAUUUAUAGAUAUGGGUUAAUUUAAGAUAUAAGAACAGUUAACAAGAAGCCUGCCAUGGCCAUACAGUUUGUAACCAAUAUAAGUCUCUGUGUUUACUUGGUUGGGUCUGAGCGGCUGUGGGACUAGUGGGUGAGAGAGAUUUGUCCUGACUGUGGGCCAGGCAGGAAAACUCUAGCUACACCAUUGGAAGGUGGUGGACACUUUAGAAGGUGGGGCCUGGAGGAAGGAAGUCAGGUCAUUAGGAGCAUGUCCCUGCAGGGGUAUUGGGCCCUCACCUGCCUCCCCAAUCCCCUUCUUGGCUGGUGUGAAAUAGUGAGCUUUGCUCCGUUACCCACUUCUCACCAUGAUGCUCAGUCUUGCUGUAGGCCCAGAGCAGUAGGGCCUCUGAAACCAGGAGACAAAGUAGACCUUUCCUACUUUUCAGUUGAUUUCCUCGGGUAUUUUGUCACAGUAGUGGAAAGCUGACUGAUGCCAUCUUGGGUCACCUCCCUCUUUCUGUGGGCUUUCCUUCCUUGCUCCGUUCAGAGCUUCUACCUGGCUCCUGCGCUGCCUUGUGUGGAGGUUUGGACUCCUCUAGACUAAAUUGUUUGAGAAGAGGUGGGGACACUAAAAGAAUAUUUUGGUGUCUGGAAACUUUACAUUUAAAGGACAGUGCAUCUAUCAGCCCCUUCCUUGAUGUUUGUUCAAUUUAAUUCCAUAUUUUGAUCUUAACCACGCAUAUUUGCUUAGACAUCUCCCCCAACAGACCAAGACUUGGGUGUUAACAAAUUGUGGGGUGUGGAACAGAGGGCUGGAAACAGCGAAAUGAGAGGAAGGGAAAGCCAGGACAGGGGAAUACUGGAGUCCUCUCGGAAUCCUCAAAGAAAGUAUCUGAAGAUGUAUUUCUGGCAGCUGGAACAGGGGACACUCUUGGGCUUUUGUCUUUCCCAUCUCAGAGGUUGCCUUGAGUGUGGGAUCCUCUGUACUUCUGGGUUUGUGCGCUGGCUGGGGUGGGUGAAGGGACUGCUGUAGGGUUCCUUCAGAGCUGUGUUAGAGGCGAGAAAUGCUGAGAGGGAAAGGAGGAAGGAGGGAAGGAGAGAGAGAGAGAGAGAGAGAGAGAGAGGGAGAGAGAGAGAGAGAGAGAGAGAGAGAGAGAGAGAGAGAGAAAGAGAAUAUCGUGAAUAUCGUGCAGCUGAGAUGUUGACAGAUAAGCCCUUGUAUACAGGUUGUCACAAUAAAUAACCAUGGCCUAAGAGUCGGCUGAGAGGAUGGACUCUACAAGAUGCCUGAUGUCACCUCAAAGAAAAGCCCCUCUGCACUGCAGACACAAUGUGCAUAGAUUUUGGAGGCUCAUCUGUGGAGCUGGGAAUGCUUGGAAACACAUCGGAGAGGCGAGGAUACAGGCAGCCCAAGAUGGAGUCUUCUGCUAUCUGCUGGACCGGCUGCAGGCUUGUGGAAUAGGAAAACUACUCAUUUCCCUCCGAGAGAGAGGCGCCCAAAGCAGAUAUUUCAAUAUAUUCCAAUUUAGCCGAGGGAAGCCAGAACAUGGAUGUUGUUGCCAAGGAAACCACCUCCUUCCUCCCAGUGUGCUGUGCAUACGUGUAUCACUCCAUCUCUUGGCUCUCCAAGGCCAUCUGUUUGCCUCGGUUUGAACUCAGCCAUGCCAAGGGGGACAUGAACCUUCUCGCCGAGAAGCCACUGGUGUUGGCUGGCACGCUGAAGGAAGAGCGCAAGACCAUGGACGCAGGAAAUACACCCGUUACAGGUCACUGCCACCUGGACUCACAGCUGCCUUUGACUGGCAGUGUCCUGCAUCACCUGACCUUCAUCGAGAGGUCUGGAUGAGGUAGACAUCUGCCCUUCCUGCCAUCCUGCCACUGUGGAGGGAAACUGGGCCUUGCCCCUGGUUCUCGGGCCACUGUGAACAAGCACUGGUCACUUGUCACUUCUGGCCCAGGUGUCCGUCUAUAAAAUGGCCAGCUCCACACCCCGUGGCCUGGCUGCAGCUGACAACCUGUAGCAGACAUGCAGGGAAGCCACCAUGGAGGAGCUGUGGCAGUGAAAGGUAUGGAGCAAUGUGGGAGAACACAGAUACAGGGUAUAGAGAACGUGAUGUUACUGAAUAGGGCUGGCCUUCGGCCCAUGAGCUGGCCUGCAGCACAGAGCCCCAGUGGCUGCAGCCCACACUGCCUGCCCUGCUGGGAGAAGGAGAGCUUGGAGUAGCAUCACUGCCUGGAGGCCACAAGCACAAUGGCCAAGCCCCGCGAGCCUGGAUGCAGCCAUCACCGAGGGCCAGGAGAUGUGCAGCCACAUGGAGCUCUCACGGAUCCUGCCCCUGGAUGCCCUCCUUAGCUGAAAGAUCAUCCUGACUCUGGGCAACAGCAGGAUAUCCAUGAUGAGUCUUGGUGAUGGUCCAGCAUUUAUGGUGACCCAGAAACCAAACACCUUGAACCAGACCAAUGACUCAGGGCAAUGAGUAUUUGUACAUAAAGUUGUUUAGGCAAAAAAAUAUACUGUGGGACACACUGCGGUUUGCAAUGCCACAUCGAUGAAAAAAAUAUGUGAUGGAGAGAUAGGAAAAAUGGAGGAAUGUAGCGGCUCAUGCACAGUGGGAAGAGGUGGAACUGGAGACACCAUGGUGGUGACAGGUGUGGGAGAAGGCUUCGGGUGUGCAGGGGAGAACGUUGUUGCUGAGUAGGGCCAGCAGGGUGGUAUGCAGCAGCCUAGAAGCUUGUAUAGGCUCUGUCCCCAAACAUGCUACCCAGCCGCAUGAUCACCCUGGCUCUGAGCAACGAGAGGAUGUCCAAGAUGGAGAAUGGUUCAUUUUCUGGAUUGGGCCUCUUCAAAAGACCUCCAGGGUCCAAUCCGCCCCAGAGACCGUCUUGAUAUCAAUGAUCCGUGUUAUAGCUGGGGGACAUGCUGGUGUCUGUCUGUGGUCCAUGCUGCCACCGCUGGCUGAGCUGAUGCCCAAGGUUCAUGUGGCUGUCUAUGGUCUGUGGUGCCACUAGAGGCCAUGUCAAUGUUCAUGGCCCAUGCUACCACUGGAGGCAGGGUGGAUGUCCGUGGUCUGUGCUACUGCUGGGAGUCAUGUUGAUGUCAGUGAUCAGUGUCUCCACUGUUGGCCAUGUUGAUAUAUGUGGCCUGAGCUGCCUCCUGAGGCCAUGCUGAGGUCUGUAGUCUGUGUUGCUGCCAAGGGCCAUGUUGAUAUCCGUGGUCCUGCUGCUGCCUAGACCAUGUGGAUGUCCAUGGUCCAUGUUACUACAGAAGACCAUGGUGAUGUCCAUGGUCUAUGCUGCCACCUGAAGCCAUGCUGAUGUCCGUGGCCUGUGUGGCCACCUAAGCCAUGUUGAUAUCUGUGGCCUGUGCUGCUGCUGGAGGCCAUGAUGGUGUCUCUGAUCCACACUGCAGCUGAGGACCAUGUUGAUGUUUGUGGUCUGUGCUGCCACUGGAGGCCACAUUGAGGUCCACGGUACUUGCUGCUGCCAGAGGCCGUGUGGAUGCCUGUGGUCUGUGCUCCUACAGGAGGCCAUGUUGAUAUCUGUGGUCUGCCCUGCCACAGGAGACCAUGCUGAAGUCCAUGGACCAUGAUAAUGCCAGAAACCAUAUGAAAGCCGUGACUGUAGAGGGCAAGGAGGCUUCUUUUGCAGUGGUCUUGAUGACUGCAGACUCACAGUUGAGAAUGAGAGACGUAGAAGGCUUCGGUGACAGCCUCUCCCUGCCCCCACCACACACAAAAAGAAACAGUCUAGACAGAAGCUAUUGAAGAGAACUCUUAAAAAUUGUGAUAGGGACCCUGGAGUGUAGCUCUUCACAGUUGAUGGCUUCUGGUGGGGGUGGGGG